Molecule: ribosomal RNA, 253 nt
Filed under: uncultured bacterium
Lineage: Bacteria
Description: partial 16S ribosomal RNA
Rfam family: Bacterial small subunit ribosomal RNA
Source: RNAcentral
CACGUAGGAGACGAGCGUUGUCCGGAUUCAUUGGGCGUAAAGCGCGCGUAGGCGGCCCUGUAAGUCCGCUGUGAAAGUCAAAGGCUCAACCUUUGAAAGCCGGUGGAUACUGCAGGGCUAGAGUCCGGAAGAGGCGAGUGGAAUUCCUGGUGUAGCGGUGAAAUGCGCAGAUAUCAGGAGGAACACCAAUUGCGAAGGCAGCUCGCUGGGACGUUACUGACGCUGAGACGCGAAAGCGUGGGGAGCAAACAGG